RNAcentral lists this ribosomal RNA (1334 nucleotides) under Campylobacter jejuni. RNAcentral describes it as "partial 23S ribosomal RNA". It matches the Rfam family "Bacterial large subunit ribosomal RNA", at positions 1 to 1317 of the family's 2925-position model. The record is from RNAcentral. Lineage: Bacteria; Pseudomonadati; Campylobacterota; Epsilonproteobacteria; Campylobacterales; Campylobacteraceae.
AGGUAAGCUACUAAGAGCGAAUGGUGGAUGCCUUGACUGGUAAAGGCGAUGAAGGACGUACUAGACUGCGAUAAGCUACGGGGAGCUGUCAAGAAGCUUUGAUCCGUAGAUUUCCGAAUGGGGCAACCCAAUGUAUAGAGAUAUACAUUACCUAUAUAGGAGCGAACGAGGGGAAUUGAAACAUCUUAGUACCCUCAGGAAAAGAAAUCAAUAGAGAUUGCGUCAGUAGCGGCGAGCGAAAGCGCAAGAGGGCAAACCCAGUGCUUGCACUGGGGGUUGUAGGACUGCAAUGUGCAAGAGGUAAGUUUAGCAGAACAUUCUGGAAAGUAUAGCCAUAGAGGGUGAUAGUCCCGUAUGCGAAAAACAAACCUUAGCUAGCAGUAUCCUGAGUAGGGCGGGACACGAGGAAUCCUGUCUGAAUCCGGGUCGACCACGAUCCAACCCUAAAUACUAAUACCAGAUCGAUAGUGCACAAGUACCGUGAGGGAAAGGUGAAAAGAACUGAGGUGAUCAGAGUGAAAUAGAACCUGAAACCAUUUGCUUACAAUCAUUCAGAGCCCUAUGUAGCAAUACAGGGUGAUGGACUGCCUUUUGCAUAAUGAGCCUGCGAGUUGUGGUGUCUGGCAAGGUUAAGCAAACGCGAAGCCGUAGCGAAAGCGAGUCUGAAUAGGGCGCUUAGUCAGAUGCUGCAGACCCGAAACGAAGUGAUCUAUCCAUGAGCAAGUUGAAGCUAGUGUAAGAACUAGUGGAGGACUGAACCCAUAGGCGUUGAAAAGCCCCGGGAUGACUUGUGGAUAGGGGUGAAAGGCCAAUCAAACUUCGUGAUAGCUGGUUCUCUCCGAAAUAUAUUUAGGUAUAGCGUUGUGUCGUAAUAUAAGGGGGUAGAGCACUGAAUGGGCUAGGGCAUACACCAAUGUACCAAACCCUAUCAAACUCCGAAUACCUUAUAUGUAAUCACAGCAGUCAGGCGGCGAGUGAUAAAAUCCGUCGUCAAGAGGGAAACAACCCAGACUACCAGCUAAGGUCCCUAAGUCUUACUUAAGUGGAAAACGAUGUGAAGUUACUUAAACAACCAGGAGGUUGGCUUAGAAGCAGCCAUCCUUUAAAGAAAGCGUAAUAGCUCACUGGUCUAGUGAUUUUGCGCGGAAAAUAUAACGGGGCUAAAGUAAGUACCGAAGCUGUAGACUUGCACACAACUUAGAUUAUUUAAGUUUAGAAUAUGAGAAACUAAGUUAUAUGUUUAGUUAUAUUUUUACUGAUUUUUAUAGAGUAAAGAUAGAAAUAAAACUUAGUGAAAUCAGUAAAAAUAUUCUUAGGCUAAAGUUAAGUAGUUU